AAUAAAUGAGCAUGAAUGGCUAAACUGAUUUUGGUGUUAGAAUUAUUUGUACUGUGUAUUCAGCCUUGAGAGGCUAGGUUGCGAUAAAUUGCCAUGUCAUGCAGUAAAAAUAUUUUAUAAAUCAGGUGGUCGAUAAAAGAUUAGCUACUGCAGUGGCGGGGUUUCGUGGGCCAGCCUAUUAAUAGGGCACGGUAAACUCUUUUAUAUUCUCACAUCGAUCGUAGAGGCGCGUAGGGUAUCUCCUGAGGUGGGCUUUUUGAGUGCACUUCACGUGGACCACCGCGUGAGAGUGAGACUCAGCGAACGCCAAGGAAUGUCUAUGUUGUCAAAAUAAAAACAAGGCAGACUCGGUUGGAUAUCCUUGGUCCAAGUGUCCCCAAGUACAGGAUUUGGCAUGAGCCAAGUUUUGAGAAAUUUACGAGCCAUAUUGAUUAUUUGGUUGAAAUGAAUAUUCGUGUUGUGAAAAAUUUGCUGAAAUGAAUUAUUUUUAAUUAUUUCUCUUUACUCGCCUUUAGAUCAUUUAGAUGGUGUUUGUUUACUCACUGGGAUUAUGUAAUCAUAAUCUCACCUCUCUUCCUAUCCAUUUUCUAGGCUCAAGACAGUUUGUUGAUAGUUGAGUAAGAUCAGAAUUAAUCUCGGAGUUGCAUCCUAGAAAGUAAGGGUUCGUAGCCCUACACCCUCUUGGUCAGAUAGGGGCCCACGUGUCAUUGUAAAAGAAAUUUUAUACUUUAGUUAUCUGAUUUAAAGUAUGUAUGAACAUAUUUAUCUUUUACACCAUGUUUUUGACGGGUUUUGAUAUUUUUGAAGAAAAAUGACGAAAAUG
RNAcentral lists this long non-coding RNA (823 nucleotides) under Theobroma cacao (cacao). RNAcentral describes it as "long non-coding RNA (TCAC_LNC003385)". Lineage: Eukaryota; Viridiplantae; Streptophyta; Magnoliopsida; Malvales; Malvaceae. The record is from RNAcentral.